RNAcentral lists this ribosomal RNA (245 nucleotides) under uncultured bacterium. RNAcentral describes it as "partial 16S ribosomal RNA". It matches the Rfam family "Bacterial small subunit ribosomal RNA", at positions 524 to 768 of the family's 1533-position model. RNAcentral also lists the same sequence under 1 other name. The record is from RNAcentral.
UACGAAGGGGGCUAGCGUUGUUCGGAAUUACUGGGCGUAAAGCGCGCGCAGGCGGCCUUUCAAGUCAGGGGUGAAAGCCCGGAGCUCAACUCCGGAAUUGCCUUUGAAACUGUCAGGCUCGAGUACGGGAGAGGUGAGUGGAAUUCCCAGUGUAGAGGUGAAAUUCGUAGAUAUUGGGAAGAACACCGGUGGCGAAGGCGGCUCACUGGCCCGUUUCUGACGCUCAGGCGCGACAGCGUGGGGAU